This 2086-nucleotide ribosomal RNA is filed under the name bioreactor sludge metagenome. RNAcentral's name for it is "bacterial LSU rRNA". It matches the Rfam family "Bacterial large subunit ribosomal RNA", at positions 842 to 2794 of the family's 2925-position model. The record is from RNAcentral.
GAGAUAGCUGGUUCUCCUCGAAAUAGCUUUAGGGCUAGCGUCAAGUGGUAGCAAUUGGGGGUAGAGCUCUGUAAAGGACUGGGGCUGGCAACGGUACCCACCCUUAACAAACUACGAAUACCAAUUGUGGAAUCUUGGCAGUUAGAACGUCGGGGCUAAGCUCGGCGCUCGAAAGGGAAACAGCCCAGACCAUCGUCUAAGGUCCCUAAAUAUACACUCAGUGGGAAACAAGGUGAGAUUUCUUAAACAGCUAGGAUGUUGGCUUAGAAGCAGCCAUUCAUUUAAAGAGUGCGUAACAGCUCACUAGUCAAGAGAUCUUGCGUGGAAAAUGUAACGGGGCUCAAGUGUAUUACCGAAGACAUGGACUGCGUAGCAAUACGUAUGUGGUAGAGGAGCGUUCCUAUCAGCGGUGAAGCCAGACUGGAAAGUACUGGUGGAGCGGUAGGAAGUGAGAAUGCUGGAAUGAGUAACUUCAAGACAGGUGAGAAUCCUGUCGGCCGAAAGAGCAAGGUUUCCUGGGCGAUGGUAAUCAUCCCAGGGUUAGUCGGGCCUAAGCCGAGGCGCGUAGCGUAGGCGAUGGACAUCAGGUUAAUAUUCCUGAACCCGUACAAGUUUUUACACUGUUCACGGCGAGAGAGUCAGAGCGGAUUCAUGGUAUGUAUCCGUCCAACCUAGGGGGAACCCGAUGGGAGUGAAAGUGAAACCUCGAGUUUCGCGAUUCUGGUGAUAGCGCUGGCUAGAAAAGCAGGUGUAAUUAUGGCUUGUGCGGCCCGUACCGCAAACCAACACCGGUGCUCGAGUCGAGAAGACUAAGGCUUACGAGAGACCCUUUGCUAAGGAACUCGGCAAUACAGCGACCGUAACUUCGGGAUAAGGUCUGCCCCCUCACACUGUGUAUAACAGUGGCGAGGAUGCCAGUUUUUAGAAGGAAUGAAGUAAAUGAUUGAGUACCUAUGAAUCUUCGGAUUCAUUUCAAUCGACAUCUAAUUUGACUGAGAAGACACAGUGAUUUCUAAAGACUGCCAAACUCAUCACACCUGGUUUAUACCUAGUGUGAGGGGGCCGCAGCAAAAGAGCCCACGGAACUGUUUAUCAAAAACACAGGUCUCUGCUAACACGAAAGUGGAUGUAUAGGGGCUGACUCCUGCCCGGUGCCGGAAGGUUAAGGGGACUGGUUCACGCUAGGAACUGAAGCCCCGGUGAACGGCGGCGGUAACUAUAACCGUCCUAAGGUAGCGAAAUUCCUUGUCAGGUAAGUUCUGACCCGCACGAAUGGAGUAAUCAUGUGGGCACUGUCUCAGCAAAGGACUCGGUGAAAGUGCAUUGGCGGUAAAGAUGCCGUCUGUCCGUACCAGGACGAAAAGACCCCGUGCAGCUUUACUACAGCUUUACAUUGAUCCGGGUUACAACAUGUGUAGCAUAGGUGGGAGACUUUGAAGCGGAUACGCUAGUAUUCGUGGAGUCGUUAGUGAAAUACCACCCUUGUUGUGAUCUUGAUCUUACCUUGACCGUUAUCCGGUUAGGGGACCGUGUAUGGUGGGUAGUUUAACUGGGGCGGUUGCCUCCUAAAGAGUAGCGGAGGCGUUCAAAGGUUGGCUAGCUUCGGAUGGAAAUCGAAGUGAUAGUGUAUACGCAUAAGCCAGCUUGACUGUGAGGAGUACAUUCCGAUCAGAUACGAAAGUAGGAGUAAGUGAUCCGCUAGAAGUACAAUAGUACAUGAAUGUGGGAUUGCUAGCGCAAACGGAUAAAAGUUACGCCGGGGAUAACAGGCUUAUAGCGCCCAAUAGUUCACAUAGACGGCGCUGUUUGGCACCUCGAUGUCGGCUCAUCACAUCCUGGAGGGGGAGCACCUUCCAAGGGUUCGGCUGUUCGCCGAUUAAAGUGGUACGCGAGCUGGGUUCAGAACGUCGUGAGACAGUUCGGUUUAUAUCCGGUAUGGACGUCAGGAAUUUUGAGAGGAUCUACCCCUAGUACGAGAGGACCGGGGCGGACGAACCUCUGGUGUAUCGAUUGUGGCCACCUGCUGCAUUGUCGAGUAGCUAUGUUCGGAAUAGAUAAGCGCUGAAAGCAUAUUAAGCGCGAAACU